Molecule: long non-coding RNA, 913 nt
Filed under: Cricetulus griseus (Chinese hamster)
Lineage: Eukaryota; Metazoa; Chordata; Mammalia; Rodentia; Cricetidae
Description: lncRNA (ENSCGRG00015011386.2)
Source: RNAcentral
GUGAGCAGGCUGCUGCUGCCAGGGCCUGGAUCUGUACCAGCUACCGUGCCUUCCCCACCGUGAUGGGCUGUGUCUCUUUAACCUAAACCAAAAUAAAUCCUUCCUCCCUAAGCCGCUUCCUAUUACAACAGUAGGAAAAGUGACUAAUACAAUUGGCAUGGCCGUAAGUUAUAAAAUGUCUGCCUCUCUCUUCCAGCUCACCUGAGACAUCACAGGGCCCACUCGGUAAUUCCCAGACACACCACGGCACAGCCUGAGAGGGAGGGGCAAGUGGAGAUACCACUAUGAAGCCAACCAGGAAUGACAGGUUUCUUUCUCAAAUACUUUUCUGUCCAGUUGGAAGAUGCUUCUGAACACUCUGCUGAACACAUGUAGCAGGUGGCUAAGUAGCCAUGAGCAGCCUGGAGUGAGCAUCGGAUGCCAUGGUGUCCCCAUCCUCCAUCCACGGGUCUCCAUGUUUGAGUAUUUGGCACCUAUCUGCUGAUGCUGCUUUCAGAAACCUCUGGAGGUAUGAACAAGCCACCUGGUGGCCCUGCCACCAUGGAGCCAGCAGCGUCCACCUCUGUGCCGUUCUCACCAUGAUGAAUUGCAACCUUUCAAACCUAGAGCCGAAACAAAGCGUCCCUCCCUUAAAUUGCUUCUUGGCCACAGCAGUGACAAAUAAUACAGUUCUCAACAGGUUGCUGUGACUACAGAAGCUAGCUGCAAGUUCAGAGCGUCCCCAGGUCACCUGCACUUCGACUGGCUGUGAAUUUGGGCAGGUCUUCUGACCCCUCUUGGCUUUCAUCGCACACUUGACCAGGCCACACUCAGCUCAGGGAAACACUUUAAUCUAUUACUGACAUGGGGAGAUUACAGAGGAACACAAGCUAGGACAUGUAUGUAUUGGGAUUUUUUGCACCUUCAGAGAAAG